Acinonyx jubatus (cheetah) is the source of this 1145-nucleotide long non-coding RNA. RefSeq lists it as uncharacterized. The transcript is spliced from 4 exons. The record is from RefSeq and is a predicted model, not a curated record. NCBI's taxonomy places the organism in Eukaryota, Metazoa, Chordata, Mammalia, Carnivora, Felidae.
CAGCAACUGUCUUAUGUCACAAAGAACCAAAUGACCCGAGAAGGACAGUCAGAGAAGCUCUCGACACACACAGGCCUGCCAGGAACUAUAUCAACUAUGGCAGCAUCAACAGAUUUCAAGAAUUCAGAGUCCGCUUUCAGUUUCCUCCCAGAAGACCAAUCAAUCUUCUCCUUUGGCUCAGCAAACUUGUAAGCAAUGUGAACUGUGUAACAAUUCAGCACAGGUGUACAGCCAGCACUAAUUUGGCCUGGAUGACUAAAGAUAAUAAUCUGCAUUGCGAAGCCAGCUGCUUGCACUGUUCCAUUAAUCCAGAACGAAUGGGUUUCUCCCUGCAACCUGUCAAUCAAACAGAGGUGGCCAAUCACCACUCUGAAUUUUUUUUGCUCUCAGUGCUUCUUCAGACUAUGUUCCAGUUGAAAACUUCUUUAGCAGUGUUCUGAAAGAGGUAAAAGUUCUACCCUAUCUAAAGCACAUCUAGGGACUGAAUUUCAGAAAACAACUAAAAUAGGGAGUCGACUCCCUAACAAAUAACAACUAAGGAUGAUUUUCAACAAAUGCGAUUGGAUUUCUGGAUUAGCAGAAUCGGAACACACACACAUUAUCAGUACUUACAGUAUGGAACUCCAAUUCUGAUAUUUUCUCUGGCUGACCUGAUCCAAAAAAAUAAACCCGAAUAAUAUGAUCCGUGCUUCCUGUGGCCAGAAACAUGCCACCUGAGGAGUAGGAGCAAACAUUUACUAUGGAGAUAAUGGCAGCAAAGACCUCUCCUUCCAACAUGAAACUGGAUCUCUUACACUGUAGGUAAUUCCUAACAACAACAAAACUCUAUUUUGUGAAUCCCUCUUGGAAAUUUCGAAGUUUCAUGAAAAUAAAAAGUUUGAGAGGUAAAGUUCAGAUAAAUAAAAAUAUCGACAUUCUCCAUUAAUGAAGCCUAGGCAAUGUUAGGUACGCAUCUGACUUUGGUAUUCUGGUACUCCACAGGUCUCUGUGACAUGGCUUUCCACUUUGUCAUGGACUUGGGUAUUAAAACUCUCAAAAUCUAGAAAAAAAUGUCCUAUUAAUGUUAUGAAAACUUUAUGAAACAAUCAGUAACAGGGCUCUGAAUCACUUAAAUGCUAUGCAGAAACUAAAGCAGAACCUAAAGU